Molecule: ribosomal RNA, 467 nt
Filed under: uncultured bacterium
Lineage: Bacteria
Description: partial 16S ribosomal RNA
Rfam family: Bacterial small subunit ribosomal RNA
Source: RNAcentral
GAUGAACGCUGGCGGCGUGCUUAACACAUGCAAGUCGAACGGAAAGGCUCCUGCUUGCAGGGGUACUCGAGUGGCGAACGGGUGAGUAACACGUGGGUGAUCUGCCCUGCACUUCGGGAUAAGCCUGGGAAACUGGGUCUAAUACCGGAUAGGACCACAUUUUGGAUGGUGUGGUGGAAAGUUUUUCGGUGUGGGAUGAGCUCGCGGCCUAUCAGCUUGUUGGUGGGGUAAUGGCCUACCAAGGCGUCGACGGGUAGCCGGCCUGUGAGGGUGUACGGCCACAUUGGGACUGGGAUACGGCCCAGACUCCUACGGGAGGCAGCAGUGGGGAAUAUUGCACAAUGGGCGCAAGCCUGAUGCAGCGACGCCGCGUGGGGGGUGACGGCCUUCGGGUUGUAGACUCCUUUCGCUAGGGACGAAGCGUUUUUGUGACGGUACCUGGAGAAGAAGCACCGGCUAACUACGUG